Long non-coding RNA from Athene cunicularia (burrowing owl), 128 nucleotides. RefSeq lists it as uncharacterized. Lineage: Eukaryota; Metazoa; Chordata; Aves; Strigiformes; Strigidae. The transcript has 3 exons. The record is from RefSeq and is a predicted model, not a curated record.
CUGAUUCAGACUGAUAUAUGGUAGCUGAAUUUGAUUUAAACCCACUGAAAUUAGCAUGGUCUAUUGCACUGAAAAACAGUUUUCCGAAAGUUCCAAAAGAAGUUAACCAAAAAAGUUUUCCAAAUGUU